UACAGUCACAUCAGGUUGAAACACCUGUUCCUGUAUGAUCAUCAAAGUUAAGCAAGGUCGAGCCUGGUCAGUACCUAAAUGGAGGACCAAUUGGGAAUACUAAAUGCUGUA
Acanthosepion pharaonis is the source of this 111-nucleotide non-coding RNA. The record is from the annotation of a GenBank genome assembly. Lineage: Eukaryota; Metazoa; Mollusca; Cephalopoda; Sepiida; Sepiidae.